CCUACGGGCGGCAGCAGUGAGGAAUAUUGGUCAAUGGACGAAAGUCUGAACCAGCCAAGUAGCGUGAAGGAUGACUGCCCUAUGGGUUGUAAACUUCUUUUGUAAAGGAAUAAAACCAGACACGUGUGCCUUUUUGCAUGUACUUUAUGAAUAAGGAUCGGCUAACUCCGUGCCAGCAGCCGCGGUAAUACGGAGGAUCCGAGCGUUAUCCGGAUUUAUUGGGUUUAAAGGGAGCGUAGAUGGGUUGUUAAGUCAGUGGUGAAAGUUUGCGGCUCAACCUUAGAAUUGCAAUUGAUACUGGUCGUCUUGAGUACAGUUGAGGUAGGCGGAAUUCGUGGUGUAGCGGUGAAAUGCUUAGAUAUCACGAAGAACCCCGAUUGCGAAGGCAGCUUACUAAGCUGUGACUGACAUUGAUGCUCGAAAGUGUGGGUAGCAAACAGGAUUAGAUACCCGGGUAGUC
RNAcentral lists this ribosomal RNA (460 nucleotides) under uncultured bacterium. RNAcentral's name for it is "partial 16S ribosomal RNA". It matches the Rfam family "Bacterial small subunit ribosomal RNA", at positions 338 to 795 of the family's 1533-position model. The record is from RNAcentral.